CACCGCGGUUAAACGAGAGGCCCUAGUUGACAAUGCAACGGCGUAAAGGGUGGUUAGGGAGAGCAAUAUAAUAAAGCCAAAUGGCCCCUUGGCCGUCAUACGCUUCUAGGCGCCCGAAGCCCAAUAUACGAAAGUAGCUUUAGAAGAGCCCGCCUGACGCCACGAAAGCUGAGAAA
This 176-nucleotide ribosomal RNA is filed under the name Rhynchocypris oxycephala jouyi. RNAcentral describes it as "Rhynchocypris jouyi partial 12S rRNA". Lineage: Eukaryota; Metazoa; Chordata; Actinopteri; Cypriniformes; Leuciscidae. The record is from RNAcentral.